Molecule: ribosomal RNA, 254 nt
Filed under: uncultured bacterium
Lineage: Bacteria
Description: partial 16S ribosomal RNA
Rfam family: Bacterial small subunit ribosomal RNA
Source: RNAcentral
GACGUACCGUGCGAACGUUAUUCGGAAUCACUGGGCUUAAAGGGCGCGUAGGCGGCCUCUGCAAGUCGACUGUGAAAUCUCCGGGCUUAACCCGGAAAGGUCAGCCGAUACUGCAGGGCUAGAGUGCAGAAGGGGCAACUGGAAUUCUCGGUGUAGCGGUGAAAUGCGUAGAUAUCGAGAGGAACACCUGCGGCGAAGGCGGGUUGCUGGGCUGACACUGACGCUGAGGCGCGAAAGCUAGGGGAGCGAACGGG